UUGUCUCAAAGAUUAAGCCAUGCAUGUCUCAGUACAAGCCAAAUUAAGGUGAAACCGCGAAAGGCUCAUUAAAUCAGUUAUGGUUCCUUAGAUCGUACCCACAUUUACUUGGAUAACUGUGGUAAUUCUAGAGCUAAUACAUGCAAACAGAGCUCCAACCGGAAACGGAAGGAGCGCUUUUAUUAGAUCAAAACCAAUCGGUGGCGGUUUCCGUCAUCGUACAACUUGGUGACUCUGAAUAACUUUACGCUGAUCGCACGGUCUCGCACCGGCGACGCAUCUUUCAAAUGUCUGCCUUAUCAACUGUCGAUGGUAGGUUCUGCGCCUACCAUGGUUGUAACGGGUAACGGGGAAUCAGGGUUCGAUUCCGGAGAGGGAGCCUGAGAAACGGCUACCACAUCCAAGGAAGGCAGCAGGCGCGCAAAUUACCCACUCCCGGCACGGGGAGGUAGUGACGAAAAAUAACGAUACGGGACUCAUCCGAGGCCCCGUAAUCGGAAUGAGUACACUCUAAACCCUUUAACGAGGAUCAAUUGGAGGG
RNAcentral lists this ribosomal RNA (541 nucleotides) under Cyrtosoma martiniquensis. RNAcentral's name for it is "SSU rRNA". It matches the Rfam family "Eukaryotic small subunit ribosomal RNA", at positions 32 to 555 of the family's 1831-position model. Lineage: Eukaryota; Metazoa; Arthropoda; Insecta; Coleoptera; Tenebrionidae. The record is from RNAcentral.